GCACGAUAGCUUUAAUUUUACUUCAAUCUACUGCAAUGUCGAAUGGAAAUGGAAUUAAAAGGCAUUUCAGAGGUGUGCCUAAAACACCUGCUACCGUGCAAUCUGAUGAAGAAUCAAGUUCAAAUGAUUCGUCCACAGUUAUGGAAAAUGAUUCAUCAACCACU
RNAcentral lists this unclassified non-coding RNA (164 nucleotides) under Daphnia pulicaria. RNAcentral's name for it is "uncharacterized LOC124312489, transcript variant X1". The record is from RNAcentral. Lineage: Eukaryota; Metazoa; Arthropoda; Branchiopoda; Diplostraca; Daphniidae.